GCAUAUCAAUAAGCGGAGGAAAAGAAACUAACAAGGAUUCCCUUAGUAACGGCGAGUGAAGCGGGAAGAGCUCAAAUUUGAAAUCUUCAAGGUUCUACCUUGACGAAUUGUAGUUUAAAGAAGUGUUUUCUGUUAGAUGAGUAGCAAAAGUUCCUUGGAAUGGGACAUCAUAGAGGGUGAGAAUCCCGUAUUUGGUUAUUCAUUCUAGCUUUGUGAUACACUUUCAAAGAGUCGGAUUGUUUGGGAAUGCAGUCCAAAAUGGGUGGUAAAUUUCAUCUAAAGCUAAAUAUUGGCGAGAGACCGAUAGCGAACAAGUACCGUGAGGGAAAGAUGAAAAGAACUUUGAAAAGAGAGUUAAACAGUACGUGAAAUUGUCAAAAGGGAAGCGUUUGACACCAGUGUUGUUUUUCCGAAAAUCAAUUACGAAUGGCUUGAUUUUGUGUUGUAUUGACCUUAUCAGCUUUCUGCACUUUUUUCGAGUCUUUCUUAAUGCACUUUUCGGUUAACAAGUCAACAUCAAUUUCUUUUGUUGUAAAAGAGUAUUCGGAAGGUGGCUUUCUUUUCGGAGAAAGUGUUUAUAGCCCUAUACUUCUACAAUCGGAGAGAUUGAGGUCUGCAGCGUAGAUCCUUCGGGGUUAGAUACACUUGUGCUAAGUUGUAGCUUUUCAUAGACAACUUGUUGACUAUGUUUAGUCAUGCGGCUUACUCGCUUGUGCUAUUUUACCUACGCUUAGGAUGUUGACAAAAUGGUUUUAAACGACCCGUCUUGAAACACGGACC
Molecule: ribosomal RNA, 780 nt
Filed under: Neocallimastix frontalis
Lineage: Eukaryota; Fungi; Neocallimastigomycota; Neocallimastigomycetes; Neocallimastigales; Neocallimastigaceae
Description: partial large subunit ribosomal RNA
Rfam family: Eukaryotic large subunit ribosomal RNA
Source: RNAcentral